UCACUAAAAACAAGGACGAGUGUAUAUUUAAAGAAGUUCAAAAGAUCAUUUAUCAAGAAGAGAAGAAUAAGAAAAAUAAAAAAAGAGAAAAAUUCAAUUCCAGUAGCCACUUGUAUACUAUGGUUUUUACCGUGCUUAUAUCUUAAGACUAUAUUUUAUCAUACAGGAUUCAUACAUUUGAUACACAGUGAUAUUGUACAGAUACAAAAACUCGAGGAAAGAAGAAAGGAGAUGAAGGAACGAGAAGAAAGAAGAAAAGAGAUGAAGAGAAGCAUACCUGAUUAAGAAACCUGAAGAAGAAAGGAAAUGACGGGUCUGUUGUCGACUAGAAGGAGAAAGAGUAAAGAAAUAGCGUCCCUUCAUUGAAGAAACUUGAAGAAGUAAGGAAAUGACUGGUCUGCUAUUGACUAGAAGGAGAAAUUGUAAAGAAAUAACGUCCCCUUAUUUUUGUUUUAACAGAUCGCUGCAGCUAUAUCCUUCAUUUUGUUUUUUCAAAAAAGCGACACUACAGCUAGCCACAUGCUAUAGAGAGGCGGAGGCGCUCCAUAAUACCAUUUUCAUCUUCCUGCAAAAAUUUGAGAAUACAUAAAUCAGUUAACUUUGUUCUUUAAUGAGAUCAAGAAUUCGAUGUUUAAAGAAAUUUUCCCAGAAGAAAGUGCAGAGCAAGUAUAAGCAACUGCAAAUAUUAAAAAACAAGUUGAAGCACAAAAGAGACAUGUUUUCCAUUUUCUUUACAGUUGGUUAAAGAUGUUCUCAAUAGAGCAUAAGGAGAGGAAUUUAGAGUUCAAACAACCCCAAGUUUCAGCUGUAAUGAAGCACACAAAAACAGAAAUUGGGAAUCCUACUGUACCAUUGAAAAAUUAUGUACAUCGGAUAUCUGAUAAGGCUGAUCAGUCAGCUUCACAAGAGAGAAGUUCGAGCUUGCUCACUCGACCUAUGGCAGCACAUAAAAUAGCUGAACACGCAACUUCUACUUUUUCUAUUGCACACACCGAAAAUGUUGUUGCUAUGGAAAAUGCAGCAGAAACUAUGCCAACUGAUGGUAGAUGCGGUCAUCCUAACAUAAUGCAUAAUCCUACUUUGCAAAAUGAUGGCAUGUACACUAUAUCAACUGAUCGGAGGUGAUGACAUGUACACUAUACCAUAUGCCUUUAUGGUUUUCCCAAAGCAAUUUGUUUUAAGGUUAUGCUCACCUACUUGAAGAAGCAAACAACAACUACAACAACAAGAACUACCCAAUAUAGUCCCAUAAAGUAGGGUCUGGGGAGGGUAAUAUGUAGACAAGCCUUACCCCUACCCGAAAAGACAGAGAGGCCGUUUCCAGUCGACCCUCGGCAGCAUAAGCAUCAGCCAGAUAAAAAAAAUGAGUUUUAUCUUAACUGGAACAUAUAGUGGUAACAAUCACUAGAUAUUAAGAUAGAUUAUAAGCUUUCAGCCUUGUGCACAAGCUUGGUAUCAACACGUAAAACCGAAGUCACUCCACAUUUAGAGGAAUUCCCAAAAGACAUUCAAUUUCUUUGAAAUGUGUAUAAAUUUCUCAGGUAUUCAUGUAUUCAAGCUCCAUAAUUUAAUAAAAUCAAAUACAGAAGGCAUAUUUAACUACAAGUCAACAUAUAAAUAACCAGAAGUAAAUAGGCAAAUAAAAAAAGCAAAAACUCAUGAUAACUAAUAAGCUACAAAUGUAGAAGCAAAAAGAUCAAGAAGUCUAUAGUACCAUCCAUCUCAAUUGAAAAAAAGGAAUAAAAGAUUUGUCUCUAGCUGAGACGAAUAUUGAAAUUCCAAGGACAAAAUCAUGCUUCAGCAAAGUGCAAUAUAGUUCAAUGCAAUUAAUUAACAGACAUAUAUUCGUUAAAAAAUAUAUGUAUGCGUACGCCUAAAGUUUCUCAGACACUUUUCUUCUUUUAGGGGAAAUCCUCAAAGGUUUGGCAGGAUAGAGUUGCCAAAUAAGUUUCUAAUCAUUUUAUCUUUGUGUUCGCAUUUGAAUAAUAGUUAUGGUCAACCAAAUUUUUAAUCAUUCGCUCUUAGUGUUUGUAUUUUAAUACCUAUUUCAGUCCUUUCUCAUAUUAGAGUAGCAAAAGUAUGCUAGAAUUAACACAAUCAUAAAACAAAUAAUUCCUAAUUCACCAAGUGAUCUGGCGUUAGGUACAACAUUUUAGAAACUUAUACACUUCGAGAAACUUAACUUAGUUACUAUUAACUUGAGAACGACUACAUUAUUAUUCAUGAACAAACAAACUUGAGGGUCCCUAUCCAUGGUUAAGAAAAGGUUCAAAAAUAGCUAAUUCUUUCAGUUGUCUCUUAACUACAAGCACUAAAAAUGUUGUUCCCAUGGAAUGAAACUCAUUUUGCACAGAGGAUAGUAGGCACCACAAGAUUUACUUUCGCACCUCAAAGAGUCCUUCAGACAAUUAAAUGCUCAUUUAAAAUACCCUACUAUUACACAAGUUCUAUGUAUGUCGAUUAAAUCAAGAACAAAUCCAAGAAGAAAGAAAUUUACAUACAACAUUGAUUGAAUAAGAAACAUCCUGUCGACUAGCAUAUGAACAAUAAUGCGACGAUAUCAUAAUAAGCAGUCAAUGUUCACCAAAGAUGAUUUCUUUUCUUAUGGGAAUAAAUUCGAUCAUAUAUUUGCUGGACCAAAAAAGAAAAUGAAAACAACCAAAAAAAAUGGACAAACUAUAAAAUCAAAUAGAAGUUCCGAUAUAAAUGCACCAACUUCAUUAAUCAAGAAACAUUAAAAUAGUAGUAGCUAGAAAUCACAUUCUAGUUGUCAAAUAAUAAGGAGAAAGAGGAAGUGAGAGAAGCAAAGUGUAAGUUCAUUUUUCCGAUUUCAGGAAAAUGGAACAUCCAAUAAUUUACUUUAUGAGAAAAUCAUUGGAUACCAUUUGUGUAAAUAUCCCUGCACUACCAUAUGUGUAGACAAGCCUACAAUACCAUAUGCAUAUCAUAUGUUUUGAUAGAAUGCUUCUUGCAAAGUAUUGAAUGUUCAAGAUGGCCUUAAAAUGUGUAUAAGUGCAUAAGUAGCUUGUAUCAUAUGAGCAUGUAUUGAACUUAUUCUUGUAAAGCUUUAAAACAUGUUUGACUUAUACUUACAUGUAUUUACACAAAUGCUACUUCAAGUAGAUGCGCAUAACCUAAAUGAAAUUGUGUUGCAAAACUAUACCAACUGAUCGGAAAUGAUGGCAUGUACACCAUACAAGUUUAAAUCGGCCUUUAGAGGCAGAUAAAUUUGCAAAUUGCUGAAAGGAAAAUAGAAGAAAUGACAUACGAACUGCGGAAUAUCGAACUAAUUCUAUAAUUUGGUAAGCGAAAUACAUGAUUUUAUGAGAGAUUGUCCCAAGACUCAUCUUGCAAUGUGAUGCCUCGAGCCAUAGGUGUAUAUAAGUGAAAUGCGACUAUCCAUAAUAUUAAUUUUCUUAAAUUUUGUAAUUGUAUCCUAAUAUCUAACAAGAAAAACCCAUUUUGGAACACAAGAUCCAACGAAACAAAAAAGAAACACAAAAAGUGAAAUCCCCAUAUAUAUACAUCAAUUUUCCCCAACUCUACCAACUUUAAAUUUUCCUAUUUAUGUUUUAUAAUUCUGUCAACCUCAACAAUGGAUUUUUGAAGGGUAGUUGUCACUUUAAUUCCUCCCAAACAGCAGUAAACUCAAUAUUAAGUACAAAAUAAACUUCAAAUAAAAUUUUAGCUCAAAGAAUUUAAACCCAGUUUCUCAAACUCCAAUUUUACUAAAACCCAACUUUUUUUUUCAUUGAUUUUUUUUCCAGAAAACUCAACUCUUCAUCAAAUCCGAGAUACAAAUUUCAAAAUACACCAAAAUUAAAAGCUAAACGUAAAUUAGAAUAAAAUAUAGUAACUUCAUAGAAACCAAUUUGCGUAUUUUAUAAUCUUUUCCAAAAACAUUUGAAUAGAAAACCUAGAGAUAGGGAACUUAUAAGCCAUGGAGGAGUGCAUGAAAGCCUAUUGGGGUAGAGAGCAAUACAUGUCGAAGCCUUUGAUGGUCGAAAUCCUUCGCUGGUCAAAAUCCUCGCUAGAUUCGGAACUGGUUUUUCCUCUUGAAGAUGCUUCAAUGGAGGGUUUUUCUCAAUGAACUAAAUAGAAAAGCUUUUACAUUGACUGAUCGAAUCUCUAUGGAACCAAUUUUCACUCUUGAAGAACCUUCAUAGCUUUUUAAUUUUAGUCGUUUUUGUUCUCGAAGAAGACACUGCUCUCUUUUCUUUAAUUUGAUAUAAUGAAAAAAAGAAGACACGGUACUCGUUUUUACUUAUUUGACAUAAUUGUUUUUAAUUGAAACAAGAAGCAUUCGCGGUUUUGUGAAAUAGUGGAGGGAAUGAAAUACCCAAAGAACCGUCCUCACAAAGUAUUUUUACAAAACUAUCUCUAUAGU
Molecule: long non-coding RNA, 4387 nt
Filed under: Nicotiana benthamiana
Lineage: Eukaryota; Viridiplantae; Streptophyta; Magnoliopsida; Solanales; Solanaceae
Description: long non-coding RNA (NBEN_LNC019311)
Source: RNAcentral